RNAcentral lists this non-coding RNA (72 nucleotides) under unclassified sequences. RNAcentral describes it as "Guanine sequence". It matches the Rfam family "Purine riboswitch aptamer", at positions 18 to 88 of the family's 102-position model. Rfam says of the family: Riboswitches are metabolite binding domains within certain messenger RNAs that serve as precision sensors for their corresponding targets. Allosteric rearrangement of mRNA structure is mediated by ligand binding, and this results in modulation of gene expression. A class of riboswitches that selectively recognises guanine and becomes saturated at concentrations as low as 5 nM. The record is from RNAcentral.
CUCUUGUAUAAGUCCAUUAAUUGGUAUGGACGUUUCGACCAGGCGACCGUAAAUUGCCCCAGGCUAUAAGAG